This 211-nucleotide long non-coding RNA is filed under the name Capsella rubella. Its description in RNAcentral is "long non-coding RNA (CRUB_LNC002912)". Lineage: Eukaryota; Viridiplantae; Streptophyta; Magnoliopsida; Brassicales; Brassicaceae. The record is from RNAcentral.
AAAUAAGUUGUAAACUUCUCUCUCUCAUUUUAUAGACUUUCGCACUUUUGUAUUUAUUUUGGCAGCAGAAUUUCCAAAAAAAACAUUAGUAUCUUACAAUCUUUAAGGUCGUCUUUCCAAAAAUAUAGUUGAGAAAUUAUUAAAAACUCUGCAAAAAAGUUAUAUUAAAAAAAAAAAACUGUCUCGGAUGUCCCGAGAGGGACAUGAUCAU